AACUGUGUGUGAGGUAUUAAAUGAUUAAAACACUCUAUGAAUUGUAAUGGUGAAAUAUAUUUGCGUGCAUGUGGGUGUAUGUAAAUCAUUCGCCGCAAUUAAUUUACUUCGAAAAUAUCCAUCACAUAUGCAGUGACGUCUGAUGGCUCAACAAGUGCACAUCACAAAAUAGAGGUGUUCCAGAAUAUGAAAAACGGAAACUACCGAAGAAGGGCACGGGAUCUGGGUUUGGUAAGAUCUUAAAGUGGCGCAACAUGCUCGGUUGGAGACUAAUUUCACAGAUAUGCAGAUAAAAGAACAUUCGUUUGGCUUUGCUGAAGAAAGCGAGGGGCCGUUGGCAAUUAAGUAAGAAAAAAGAUUACAUAAAACUGAGCUUAUAUAAGACAUUCUGAGGACAAGAUUAGUUACUGCUUUCAAU
This is a long non-coding RNA of Varroa destructor (honeybee mite), 418 nucleotides long. NCBI's taxonomy places the organism in Eukaryota, Metazoa, Arthropoda, Arachnida, Mesostigmata, Varroidae. The record is from RefSeq and is a predicted model, not a curated record.